UCGAGAAUCUUUCGCAAUGGGCGCAAGCCUGACGAAGCGACGCCGUGUGUGUGAUGAAGGCCCUCGGGUUGUAAAGCACUUUCGCCUAAGAACAAGAGAGCGCUGCUAAUACCGGCGUAAUUUGAGAGUACUAGGUAAAGAAGCACCGGCUAACUACGUGCCAGCAGCUGCGGUAAUACGUAGGGUGCAAGCAUUAAUCGGAUUUAUUGGGCGUAAAGGGCGCGUAGGCGGGGAAGUCAGUCAGAUGUGAAAUCCCGGAGCUCAACUCCGGAACAGCAUUUGAAACUUCUUCUCUAGAGGGUAGGCGGAGAAAACGGAAUUCCACAAGUAGCGGUGAAAUGCGUAGAUAUGUGGAAGAACACCAGUGGCGAAGGCGGUUUUCUAGCUUACACCUGACGCU
This 400-nucleotide ribosomal RNA is filed under the name uncultured bacterium. RNAcentral describes it as "bacterial SSU rRNA". It matches the Rfam family "Bacterial small subunit ribosomal RNA", at positions 355 to 747 of the family's 1533-position model. The record is from RNAcentral.